Molecule: long non-coding RNA, 2547 nt
Organism: Anguilla rostrata (American eel)
Lineage: Eukaryota; Metazoa; Chordata; Actinopteri; Anguilliformes; Anguillidae
Exons: 3
Source: RefSeq, a predicted model, not a curated record
AUGCGCACAAUCUAACGCUGACGGAAUAAAUGUACGGAACGCACAAGAAAUAAACAAUAAUCCUAUUUAUUUAGCUGGGUUAUCUCCUCUUCGUAAACACAGUGCUGAACUGCAGCUUAGUAGGGUAACACUGCUGAAGGAUUGAGAGGUCGCCAGCUGUCCUUGGGUCUCAACUUUGAUUUAAUGCCCUUGUGAUAUAAUGGCAUGCAGCCUAGUUAGACAGUAAGGCACAGAUGCAGCGUUUAAACUGUCAGCCUGAGGACUCGCUGCACGUGGGUGAGCUCAAGUGCGACUGUGUUCGACGGCAGUACCAGAGAGAAAAACGUAUUUAAUUCCUACUUUGUUCCACUCCAUCCAGUCCCGACCGUGAGAUGACUUUGCAACCUACUUUGGACGGAGUGUAGCACAGUGGGUAAGGAACUGGACUUGUAACCGAAAGGUCGCAGGUUCGAUUCCCGGGUAGGACACUGCCGUUGUACCCUUGAGCAAGGUACUUAACCGAAAUUGCUUCAGUAUAUAUCCAGCUGUAUAAAUGGAUACAAUGUAAAAUGCUAUGUAAAAAAGUUGUGUAAGUCGCUCUGGAUAAGAGCGUCUGCUAAAUGCCUGUAAUGUAAUGUACUUUGACAUGGAAGUAGCAGACAUCUACAGUUCCUUCACACAAUCUCCAGCAUGGUCUUCGACUCUCUAUCUACUAGAUGAGCUGACACCUGCAGCUUAAUCUGGCCAAGACUGAGCUGCUGUACAUCCUAUCCCACAUGUUUUCAAUAUGGAAAAUACUUACUUUGAGUACAAGGGUCAUUAAGGUCAUUCUAAAUGAGGAUCAUAAUGCAGGUAAACAGCAACGACACCGAGUACGACUGGAAAUUAGAUUAAAAUGGCCUCUUUUGAUGUACAAGGUCUUAAUUAUCCUAUUAGUAGAAGGAAGGUUGAUGAUUUUCUGAAGAACUGCUCAAUUACAUUUCUGCAGGAAACUGAAUUUAAUGAUGAAGAACAUCAAUGUGACAACUGAAAUAUUUUGUCAGACUAUUCUCCUUUGUUCUUUACUCUUAAACUGUCUACUCCUCUAAAAAAAAUAAAAUAAAAAAGCCCCAAAAUGGAGGCUGAAUACAUCCCUCCUGGCUAACCCUACCACAAUUGCAACAUUUCAGAAUCUCAUUAAAGAGAGUAUACAAUUGAACAACACCCCUGGAAUUUCUGCCUCUACGUUUUGGGAUAUGGCUGUGACAGAGGUUAGGCCUGGAAGCAAAGCCAAAGCGGUAGCUUCCUACUGCUGUUGGCUAUCUUCUGGUGACUGAAGAAUGUUGGAUAUACACACUCAUACACCCCUGUGUCAUACCCGCUACUCCAACAAAGAUUGUAUAUGCAUAUAUGUACAAAAAAAACAAGAUGGAGCCUUGCGAUGGCUUCUCAAAAUAAUGGUCCACAAUUGUUUGGGCAGCAAACGAAAGUUCAAAAAAAAUCUCCCACCAUCCAGCUUUGCAACACCACCAUUUUACUUUCUCGCGAGCUACCCUUUAUCCCCCAGGAAAGGGACUGUCCAUGCUAUGUCAUUAACUGACUGUAGCGUGCCAAAAAAAUUUAAUAGAAUUGUAGUUCUACAAUCCUGUCCUGACAUAGGGAAGAAUAAUAAUAACUGUAAAGCUCUAAGGUACCAAGUGAUUAAUUUGAAUAAAUAUAUAGGAAAGUCAAGUGUAAGCUGUGAAAAGAUCUAUUAAUCUUAUAUACAAAACAUUUACGGUUUAAGAAAAGAUAUUAGAUCAAAAACCAGCAUUUUCACAAAACACCUAUGAUUUGUAGGAAAUAUUUCUGUGCUGAUGAACACUGAUCAUUUAAAACUAAGUACAGUACUCUGGCAGCAUUGAUGCAAUAUACAGAUCCAAUUGGAGUAGCUUCCCAAAAGACUAGAAGAAGAGGCUGAAAAGAAAAUAAAUAUCAUGGUACCUGUGCACUUUUUUUUCUACAAUUGUUAAUCAAACCUGUGUGUGUAUGCACACAUGCAUGCGGUUGUGUUUAUUUGUUUUGAUAUGUGCUCGGCGCUGACCAUAAUAUCUUUAACAACUCAAAGUUAUUGAAUUUCUUUUUAUUAAUUAUAAUACAUCACAAAUGUAAACAGAUUUGUUUGGCAUCACACAAUUGUUUUCACUUUUCUUUCUCUCAUGCUCACCCAUGUUUGAAAUCAUGCCACUGUAGCACUUUCAUCAUCACAUGAACGGUUUGUUCAUACAAAGGCAGUACAUUUGUGGAACCACAUAAAACACACCAUCUGCAGAACCUCAGUACAGUGAUUUUUUAAAGAUUCAAGAGGUUGUUUAAAAAUAAGCAAAAAGUAAUGCAUUUAAUUUGAUGUUGGUAAAAUUUCUUGUAUAAGAGAAAUAUUGUGCUCCACAUAAUAUAUCGUAUAAUCACUUAUCUAUUGGAAGAAUGGAAUAGUUUUUCAGUCUUUUACAAUGUUUUGUUUUUGACGUGGUUCUAAGAGUGACCAUAUCCAAGCUAUGUUUCCUAGUGACAGGGUUAUCUGACCUUUUAAGCUCUUAUAAGUGCAGAUUG